This 429-nucleotide ribosomal RNA is filed under the name uncultured bacterium. RNAcentral describes it as "bacterial SSU rRNA". It matches the Rfam family "Bacterial small subunit ribosomal RNA", at positions 90 to 507 of the family's 1533-position model. The record is from RNAcentral.
AGUGAGUGGCGGACGGGUGAGUAACACGUGGGUAACCUGCCUUAAGUGGGGGAUAACAUUUGGAAACGGAUGCUAAUACCGCAUAAAACCUAACACCGCAUGGUGUAGGGUUGAAAGAUGGUUUCGGCUAUCACUUUAGGAUGGACCCGCGGUGCAUUAGUUAGUUGGUGAGGUAAAGGCUCACCAAGACCGUGAUGCAUAGCCGACCUGAGAGGUAAUCGGCCACACUGGGACUGAGACACGGCCCAGACUCCUACGGGAGGCAGCAGUAGGGAAUCUUCCACAAUGGACGAAAGUCUGAUGGAGCAACGCCGCGUGAGUGAAGAAGGUUUUCGGAUCGUAAAACUCUGUUGUUGGAGAAGAAUGUAUCUGAUAGUAACUGAUCAGGUAGUGACGGUAUCCAACCAGAAAGCCACGGCUAACUACGUG